UGCGUAGGUGGCAAGGUAAGUUCGAUGUGAAAUCCCGGGCUCAACCCGGGAACUGCAUUGAAAACUAUCUCGCUCGAGGGUCGGAUGGGAGACUGGAAUUCUCGGUGUAGCAGUGAAAUGCGUAGAUAUCGAGAGGAACACCAGUGGCGAAGGCGAGUCUCUGGACGACACCUGACACUGAGGCACGAAAGCUAGGGGAGCAAACA
RNAcentral lists this ribosomal RNA (206 nucleotides) under uncultured bacterium. Its description in RNAcentral is "partial 16S ribosomal RNA". It matches the Rfam family "Bacterial small subunit ribosomal RNA", at positions 568 to 774 of the family's 1533-position model. The record is from RNAcentral.